UGGCUGCAGCCCGCCUCUCUCAGUACCCUGCGCCGCUCUUCUCAGUACCCAUCCCGCAGACAGGAAAUGACGCAAUACCGCCGCUCUCAGUCCCCUCAGACCGGAAAUGUCGUCAACCCUUGCGACGAAAACAAGUUACGUUAUUUCACCUCUCGCGAAGAAAACACGCUCCAAGAUCACCACCCCAUUGGGAAGAAACUAAAUCACGACCCCCAAAUGGUAGUCUUCCCAUGCAGAUACAGGGAUGUCACACAGAUCCAAAUGGAAACAUCGAACACAGUAAAACCCACGUGGCAGACAGGACCAAUGGUGACAAUAUAAGACCAUGCCGAGCUUCAUGGACGGUUCAAACUCAUCCUGCCCAGGAACGGCUGAAAACGUUGACAGUCAGUCAACAGGGGGACAUGGAAAGAGAGGAUUGGAAGUGAAAUAGAGGGUUUUCCGGGACAGCCAUAGGGGAAGGACUGUGGCAUCUUCAUGUUGAUGACUGAUAUGCCAACUCUGAGGAAGUGGUGGUGUAUAUUGCUAGCGGACAAUUUCAAACUUGGGUGCAUGCCACAGGAAAGAGUUUGCCCAUUGGACAGAUGAGGCAAAAGCAUUACUGCAGGGUGAAGUGCCACCAGUCUAUCAGUUACAGAAGAGAAAUUUGAAUAUAAUUGGUGAGGAAGAGGUGCAACCACAGCUCCUUCAAGUUAGUGGUGGCCCACUCCAAAAAGAUAUGGCGGGAAAAAAUGUUUUGGUAAAAGGAUUGUGCAAGACAGCACAAAAGCCUCGGACAGGGCUAGGGGGGAAAAAAAAUCAAUGCAGUAGGAGUUCCCAAGCAUCCUGCAGAUGGAAGAGGAUGAGCACGAACUACAAUGUCUUGGAGCCAUUCAAGUUCUGUUUCAACCAUCUGGAAGAUGGAUUUACCUUUUUUGAGGAGAUUGUUGACUAAAGAAAAGAUCUAUUCUCUCAAUAAUAAUAAAAAAUAAUAAAACUAAAAAAAUAAAGUUUACCACAUCAGAACUGGUUGUAUUGAGUU
Molecule: long non-coding RNA, 1021 nt
Organism: Corythoichthys intestinalis (scribbled pipefish)
Lineage: Eukaryota; Metazoa; Chordata; Actinopteri; Syngnathiformes; Syngnathidae
Exons: 9
Source: RefSeq, a predicted model, not a curated record